UGCAACUAAAUAGCUCUUUUAUCUCAACCAAUAUGUAAAUCAAGGCACAAUUUCCCCUUUAAGAGUGUCAGUUGGUUUUACUUUUAAGGCUACACCACCGACACAAAUUUUGUGCACUUUCCCAAAUCCUCUCCUAUCAAUUCCCCUCCAUUCAUCAGAGGAAGCCAAAAUGACCCUUGGGCUAAACUUGGUGUUCUUACUUGCAUGCCUUGGAGGUGUCAAAUCUCAAGGCCAGUUGGUGGAGUCUGGAGGGAACUUGAGAAGACCUGGAGAGUCCAUGCGUAUCUCCUGCCAAGCUUCUGGAUUCACCUUUACUAGCUCCUGGAUGUACUGGAUGAGACAGGCUCCAGGGAAAGGCCUGGAAUGGGUUUCUCAUAUAAAUCCAAGUUCAUCUAACAUUUACUACUCUGACAAAGUGAAGGGACGCUUCACCAUCUCCAGAGACAAUGCCAAAAGUCAGCUGUAUCUGCAAAUGAACAGCCUGAAAUCAGAGGACACAGCAGUCUAUCAUUGCAUGGCAGACACCAUGAGAGGAAGCAAAUCUGACACCAGGCAAAAACUUUCUCUUCCUCUGAGCAACUUUCCAACUUGA
Molecule: non-coding RNA, 592 nt
Organism: Crotalus tigris (Tiger rattlesnake)
Lineage: Eukaryota; Metazoa; Chordata; Lepidosauria; Squamata; Viperidae
Source: the annotation of a RefSeq genome assembly